This 746-nucleotide long non-coding RNA is filed under the name Fukomys damarensis (Damara mole-rat). RNAcentral describes it as "lncRNA (ENSFDAG00000026136.1)". The record is from RNAcentral. Lineage: Eukaryota; Metazoa; Chordata; Mammalia; Rodentia; Bathyergidae.
AUGGUUUCCACCUGCCAGGACUCACCAGCGCCCCCCAAGCCUUCCAAGACUCCAGUCUUCCUGGCAAAUCAGACUCCCUGUGAGGAUGAGGAUGCACUGAAGCCAGAGGCCCCCAGGAAACUGAUGAUCGGGGAUCAGCGACGGCCCCCCUUCCUCUGGACAUGGUGUGUCACGAUCCAGGACAAUGCCCGGAAGCUGACCCAACACCGUGAGCAGCUACGGAAAGGGAAAGAGGCUGCCUUCUCCCUUGGACAGUGUCUCCGGCGCCUCUUUACCCAGGAAGAAACUGCUCGUGCGGUUCAGCGACACAGAGAGGAACUGGUGGAGGCCUGCAAGCUGGCCGACCACCUUGUCCUGCAGCUGCACAUAGCAAACUGUGGAAGCAGGACAGAUGAGGAAGAGAAAGAGCCACUUUACCAAGUGGACGAUCAGAGCAGCGAUUUCAGCUUCCUGAUUCAGGCUCAGGCCCGAGAGCUGACCCAGUUAAGGAAGAAGUUGGAGGCAGGAAGAAAUGUCGCAUUCAUCCUCCAAAGACAUCUCAAAGACCUCAUCACGGAUAAUGACUUUGGUGAAUCCCAAGGGCAGAGCCUCCUACAGCUGGCAGAGUGGCGCAGGCUGGCUGAGCGCCUGACCCUCCAGCUCGGCUCAGAGCACCACUGCGACACGGAGGACGAGGAAGAAACAGAGUCCCUGGACUCCAGGUGACCAGCAUGGUCAGGGCUGUGAGCCAGUGACGGGAGCGGGGG